GGCCUGUUAGCUCAGCUGGUUAGAGCGUGGUGCUAGUAACGCCAAGGUUGUGGGUUCGAUCCCCACAUGGGCCA
Molecule: transfer RNA, 74 nt
Filed under: Danionella translucida
Lineage: Eukaryota; Metazoa; Chordata; Actinopteri; Cypriniformes; Danionidae
Also listed under: 1 other name
Rfam family: tRNA
About the family: Transfer RNA (tRNA) molecules are approximately 80 nucleotides in length. Their secondary structure includes four short double-helical elements and three loops (D, anti-codon, and T loops).
Source: Rfam by way of RNAcentral